CGCGUAGGCGGUUUGCUAGGUCGGAUGUGAAAGCCCCGGGCUUAACCUGGGAACUGCAUUCGAUACUGGCAGGCUGGAGUAUGGUAGAGGGAAGUGGAAUUCCGGGUGUAGCGGUGAAAUGCGUAGAUAUCCGGAGGAACAUCAGUGGCGAAGGCGGCUUCCUGGACCAAUACUGACGCUGAGGUGCGAAAGCGUGGGGAGCAAACA
This 207-nucleotide ribosomal RNA is filed under the name uncultured bacterium. RNAcentral's name for it is "partial 16S ribosomal RNA". It matches the Rfam family "Bacterial small subunit ribosomal RNA", at positions 568 to 774 of the family's 1533-position model. The record is from RNAcentral.